GGUGGCUAGACAAGAUGGCGGAUCCCCACUGCAAAAGUUUCUCUAAGUUUCAAAAGGUCAAGGCCUAGAUCAGCACUAGCAAAAGCAGCAGGAACAACUUUAGUGAAAUCACUAAGACAGAAUUCGCACAAGGAACUCAAUGUCUGUACAAGAGGAUGCAGCAUUCAAGGUUCUAUCUUGGAAGCAGAGACUGUGCCCUCACCAGAUGCUGAACCUGCUGAGCACCCUGAUCUUCCACUUCACCUUCAUCAGAACUACUGCUGUGAUUGCACCUGCCAUCUUAUGCAGAAAUGACCUGAAGACAGACUGAAACAACGUGUUCUACAGCCUGAAAAUAUCUACCUUGACUUACAGUUUUAUUAAUGCUGGUGUGAUCAGACUGGACAAAAAUUAGCAUAUGUUAUUAACUGAUCUAAUUCAAGUGCCAAUUCUUAAUAGAAACACAAAACAAUAAAAGCAAUUCAGAAAA
RNAcentral lists this long non-coding RNA (469 nucleotides) under Homo sapiens (human). Its description in RNAcentral is "long intergenic non-protein coding RNA 882". Lineage: Eukaryota; Metazoa; Chordata; Mammalia; Primates; Hominidae. The record is from RNAcentral.